ACAAACUUGGUCAUUUAGAGGAAGUAAAAGUCGUAACAAGGUUUCCGUAGGUGAACCUGCGGAAGGAUCAUUAAAGAAAUUUAAUAAUUUUGAAAAUGGAUUUUUUUGUUUUGGCAAGAGCAUGAGAGCUUUUACUGGGCAAGAAGACAAGGGAUGGAGAGUCCAGUUGGGCCUGCGCUUGAGUGCGCGGUCUUGCUUGGCUUGUAAGUUUCUUUCUUGCUAUUCCAAACGGUGAGAGAUUUCUAUGCUACUGUUAUAGGACAAUUAAAACCGUUUCAAUAUAACACACUGUGGAGUUUUCAUAUCUUUGCAACUUUUUCUUUGGGCAUUCGAGCGAUCGAGGCCCAGAGGUAACAAACACAAACAAUUUUAUUUAUUCAUUAAAUUUUUGUCAAGAACAAGAAUUUUCGUAACUGGAAAUUUUAAAAAUAUUAAAAACUUUCAACAACGGAUCUCUUGGUUCUCGCAUCGAUGAAGAACGCAGC
RNAcentral lists this unclassified non-coding RNA (485 nucleotides) under uncultured fungus. RNAcentral's name for it is "partial contains small subunit ribosomal RNA, internal transcribed spacer 1, and 5.8S ribosomal RNA". The stretch from base 1 to 73 matches the Rfam family "Eukaryotic small subunit ribosomal RNA", at positions 1759 to 1831 of the family's 1831-position model. Lineage: Eukaryota; Fungi. The record is from RNAcentral.